GGGCAGCGCGCAAUGGAAAAUCCAAUAGCAUAAAAUAUCGCGCGAUAUAUCCGGGCAAUAUCAGACAAGUGAAGAAAACCCGUUAGAACGCGGCCGAGUGUGUUCCGGCGCGUCUGAAGUUAGGCGUCCUUGACGCGGUAGAGAGAGGUCGCGCGACAAUCGCGCGCUACUUAGCGUCUCAAUAUCGCGCGCCAUAAGAGUCUCCGACGUGAAGACGAGCGGUCGCGUCACGUCGCGCGCCUUUUCCGUCGUUUCCGAAAUAAUCGAAGCGGUCGUGAGAUUUCGCACGUUCGAUCGCCGUGAGCUCCGAAACGCAGCUUGCGAUUCUCUCGGAAAGAGACCUGAGACGGAGUUUGCGAGCGAGUGCGGUGGGUGUUUUGCGGUACCGGAGGAUCCGGUUCGGGCCGAGCAGAAUCGUCUCGAAGAUCUGAAUAUAGUGACAUGUGGCCGGCUGUGAAUUUCGCUAAGUUCGGUUCGAGUACGGUUCGAAUCGGAGAUGCAAUCAUGUAUGUUCUUGCAUGUUAUGCAAUUAUGAGCUGUUGAGCGAACUGUAAUGGUGCGAGUCGGAUUUCUUCUUAUUCUGAGAAGCAAGAGUUCGCGGCAACACUUGAUGUUCAGUAAUUCGUUAUAUCUGUUACAUUUUUAUUUUCGUUAUCAAUAUUCAUCACACAAAAAUUGUUUUUACCUAAAUAAAGAUCCGAUAAUAUCUCUCGCUGCGUUUUAACGACUCGUUAUUAGCGACUUGAUAUCACUAUUUUGUUCAACGGUUCCAUUUUCCGUCACGAUUGCCAGAAUACGAUCGAAUGAAGUUCGAUCCUGAAACUUCGCAAAGUGAAUAGCGAGGCAGUCACGCGUCACGGAAUUGCGCCACGUGCAAAAUCGCGCUAAUUUCGCUCGUAGUUAAUAAAUAAAUUUCUCGAUCGGUUGCGGUUUGUAGUCUUUUUCUCUCUUUAUCUAUGGAAAUAACAUUUCUCGACAGUCACGUUAAUACGUAUUCGCGCUCGUAUUGAUAGAAUUUAUCGGUCAUCGUGAACCCGGUUGUUUACGUGUACGUUGUGAUCGCGCUAGUUAGACAGGAAUUUUUCGUCGAACCAAAUUCGCCGGAUAUACGCAUUUCGAAAUUAAUUUUCACGAUGAGAUCGCGGAACGGUCUCUAUAGAAAUUCUGCAAAGCCAUUUAGCGUGAAAAUAUCAUGCAUAUCAUAUAUUUUAGGUCAAUUCUCGUGCAACUGUGAUGCAUUUUCGCGAUUGAUUUUCAGUUCGUGACGCGCGAUAUAUAUUCCUGAAAUGUUUGAAUUUAUCGUAUUAAGACAGAUCUUUGUUAAACAAACAUGCACUCGGUAAAUCCCGAUUUUUCGGAAAUCAUCGUAAGGUCGAAAUCAAAGUCGUAGGUUUCGUUUCGAGAUAAACCCAACGUUUUUUAUCGAUGCCGCCGUUAAUUCGCGAAACGCCGUUGAAACGUGAAUAUUAAUCGCGUCGCGAUAAAGAAUAACGAAGCGAAGUGAAGUGAAGUGACGUGUAAUCAGCAUGGGACGACAGAGGCGUAGCACCGGAUACGAAGUGACGCAGUUUGGGAUGCUACGAUGCGGCUACGAGUUUCGUGCUGGGGCGGACCAGACUGGAACGUCGAUGGAUUUCCAACGUGAAGCGGUGAGUGUUGAAUCUUAACGCUCGCAGAGCGACAUAUGUUCUAAUGCAUGCCUAGUAAAUCACGUUGGUCUCUAACGAGCAGAAUAAAAGCAGCCACAUCCCGCUGCGGUGAAUUUCUUUAGGGAUCAAUUUAACCUUGGAUUGAUGAUGAUUUAACCUUGGAGCGAUUUAUGAAGCUCGAGAUCUCGCCGUUUCAAACAUCACGCUAUAUACCUUGAUGCAUUUCUCAUAUUAUCUCUCUCUC
RNAcentral lists this long non-coding RNA (1893 nucleotides) under Harpegnathos saltator (Jerdon's jumping ant). RNAcentral describes it as "uncharacterized LOC112588414". The record is from RNAcentral. Lineage: Eukaryota; Metazoa; Arthropoda; Insecta; Hymenoptera; Formicidae.